RNAcentral lists this long non-coding RNA (2865 nucleotides) under Mus caroli (Ryukyu mouse). Its description in RNAcentral is "lncRNA (MGP_CAROLIEiJ_G0005109.1)". Lineage: Eukaryota; Metazoa; Chordata; Mammalia; Rodentia; Muridae. The record is from RNAcentral.
GGCAAGUUUGUAGGGCAUCUCUUUGAUUGCUGAUUGACGCUAGGGUCCAGCCCACUGUGGGUGGUGCCAUCCCCUGGGCUGAUGGUCCUGGGUUCUAUAAGAAAGCAGGGUGAGCAAGCCGGUAAGCAAUGCCCCUCCGUGGUUCCUGCCCUGACUUUCCUAACAGAUUAACUGUGAUCAUGAUUUUUUAAGGGCUGUGAACUCUCUAUACCUUGGACAAGCACUUGGAAUCCAUUCAUUGGGAACAGUAUCUUCCCUGGGAGUGACUUUUGCCCUUUCUACCUUCAGGGCUUCAAAACUUCUGCAGGUGUUUGUUCCAGAUGUGGACUCUUGCCCCAGCAUUUGACCAUCCAUCAGCCAGCUAUUUCACACAGAUAAGAUUCUAAUCUUUUACACUGGAUAGCCACUGAGUGUCUGGAGCUGACCAGGAACAGGCCAAGAGCAUGGCUCUCCUCAAACACACACAUUUAAACACAUCCAAUCUGAAUGGGGAUGAAGUUGGCCUGUGGACGUUUACUUUACAGUAGAUCUAAGUUGCACUAUGGUGAAUGCAGCGAACAGACUUCCGGUUGACCUGGAGGCGAGCUGCAGGCUGUUGCGGGAGGUAGCUUUUCUGGCACGUCAGGUGGGUCAACCCAAAGAGACGCAGCUCUCCAGACUGGUAAAUGUUUUGUAAGCCCAGUGGGUUGAAGAAAGACGCAGAUAGCUUCUUCAGGGUCAGCAGUAUUUCCGAGAUGCAUCUCCCUCCUGCUUGAUUGUGUCCAUUCUAGGCAGUUGGUUUGGAAAAACGUGGCUUCCCCUCAAAGCUUGACCUGCUCGGGACCCAUGGAGGACAGCCCUGACGUAGGCAUGGAGGUCACUGAGGUCACUGAGGUCAUGCUCCUUAUCUGGUUCCUGUUGCUCAAGCUACCCGUGUCAGUUGCUAUGGAUACAUUGACAUUCAUGCUGUUACUGUACAUCCUGGUAUUUGCUUGUUGCCCAAAGCGAGGUGGGGACUGUGAAAACAUGCUGUUUCUACCCGUGCUCUCCUGUGCCCAUUCGUUCAUGUCUGAGGAGGGCUGGUAAGCUGGGUUGUUUUGAGACUGCUACAUCAUGGGACUCUGGGUAUGUACCAUCAGGGAGACAUUAAAGGAUUCUGGGGAGUCAUAGCCCCAGGAAAUCUAGGAUCAGGUUCCUGGGAGAUCCGGGGAUUCCUCAUGGCUGCUGGUAGACCAGUAGGAGCAGCCAUGCUUGGGGUCAUAUUCAACCCUUGUCCUCUCAUCGUCAGAAGUUCACUGCUGUACCUGCUGUUGCUGGUGCAUCAGUCUCUGCUGAAGAUGCUGGUUGAGGAUUUCCGUCUGCCUCUGGGCCAGCAUCUGUGAAUUAAUAGGAGCCUGAGUUGGGGCUCCAGGCCCCAGAGUCAAGUUCACAUUGGAGACACUGUCAAUCUGAUUCAUAAGAGGACACCUUGAGUGAGGUGCCAUGGGUGGACCGAGGCCUAGGCAAGCUCCCUGUAGAGUCCUUGUUUGUGUCCGACAAGGAGCUAGGCAAGGGUGAAGGUUCCAUCUGGUUGGACUUGGUGGUCAGCAGCUGUAAGAGUUUGGUCUGCCCUUUGCUGUCAUGCUGUGUCCCUCUGCCCUGUCCCCGCUGGUCGCCUGGGGCAUGCUGGAGCCAUUGGGCACCUUUUGUUCUUCAGGAUGGUAGCUGGCCUCUGCUUGUCCAGUUGUACCUUCUGAGGGCUCCCCAUGAAGUCUGAAACAGUCUCUGGAAUCCAAACUUCCCAUCUUGCUGAGUGGUGGAGGAUUCAGAUUAACUGGGGAGUUUUGCAAAUUGCCCAUUUUUAGGUCCAGUGAAGCCACCGAGGACCCGAGUGAGACCCCACGACCCUCGCUGAGGGCUUGCAGUGCAUCAAGGGAACUGUUGGUAUAACUAUGGCUAUUUCCUGUGCUGCUGCAAACUUCCACAGGGGAAUGCAAGCUUCCUGCAGGGGAAAACUGACUCGCCAAAAGAAUGCCACUGGAGAGAAAACGACAGAUCUGACUGAACGCCAACCCAUGCUUGCCUCAGAGUUUCAUGAUGAUGACUCUUGGUGUGUGAAGAGACUUCCCCCACUUCAUGCGGCGUGUGGAACUUCUGAAUGCAUCCUCUCGCCAGAUCCUCCCAGCCCGGCUUCAUGGCGGCCCUCACGGUGCUAGUGUCCAGAGAAGUGAUUUUUGCCUUGGAUGUCCUGGCGAGUGGUAAAGCUUCCUGACGAGGGGAGGGCUGAGCUUCCCUUCGAGGGGACUCUUCCUGCCACACAAAUCAAGCAGGACUGCAAAUCUCCGCCUUCCUCUCUGAUCUGGCUGAGACACAGAGAAGUUCCGUAUCAUCUCGUAUUUCUGAUGGGCUUCCUGGUUACCGUGGCCUUCCUCUUCUGAAUCUGGCAAAGGCUUCACCAGCAUCUGAGAGUUGAAGGUAUAGAUAGCUACUCUGCCUCGGAGGUUCUCCAGACAGAGGUCUCCCCAUUCACCAUGGACUUUGGCAGCUGGUACAGUGUGGUUCCGAACAUGCAGGAUGCUGUAGACAAUCUUGUUCAUCAGUUCUUCCUGGUUAUACUGUAGAUGCCGUGUCACAUUCUCUGACAGGGACACCCCAUUGCCUUCCACAUUCACAAUGAAGAACCCUUCAUUGCCGAGGGCCUCGAGCAUCAUAGGCCACAGUGCAUCCUUGUUGAUGAUAUCCUGCCCUGUGGACCACACAUCUGACUCCUGCAUUUCAUCUGUGCUGGCAGGGGCUGCUUUCUCUUGCUCUUUGAUCCGGCGGAUCUGCUUCACAGUUUCUUUUAAGAUGGCACAUUUAUCAGGUUUGAAAUUGAAGUUGUCGAUAUCAUUAAAAGUUGCAAAAAUC